RNAcentral lists this long non-coding RNA (4642 nucleotides) under Monomorium pharaonis (pharaoh ant). RNAcentral's name for it is "uncharacterized LOC118644932". The record is from RNAcentral. Lineage: Eukaryota; Metazoa; Arthropoda; Insecta; Hymenoptera; Formicidae.
CAUAGUACUAAUUCUAUGAUUUAUUAUUAUCCUGAUGUUUAUAGAUAUACUUAUAAAUAUACAUCUAGGACUCAAUAAUAUUCGAUUUCUAUUUAAAACUAUAAUUUUAACGUUAUUAUCCAAGUUUACUUAUUUAUAGAGAUGACAACUGCACAAAAGAAAUUAUAAUUUUGCAGCAAUAUAUAUGAUAUUAUAGCAUUAUAAGUAUGCAUACGUAUUUACAAAUCAUUUAUAUAAUAAAUAGUCAUGAAUUUAAUAAUGUAUUAUUUAAAUAUUUGUGUUACAAUUGUAAAUUUUUAUUUAUAGUCGAUAAUGUCAUCGCUCUUCAAUUACCACCGGGCCUCCCGGGGCCCCCCGGGGCUGCGUUCAAAAAGAUCACCCGGGUGCCCCUUAGGUAUCACUUUAUCUUUGUUGUUCAUCGAAUGUUAAACAAGGAUAAAAUGAUAUCUGGGAAUACUGGAAAGUCUGAAAUCUGGGGUGAUGUUUCUAAAUACAGCUUGCGAUGAAAAUUGUCUAUUUGAUGAUCUUUAAUAGUAUCUAGUCGGUUUAAAUGUACAACUAAUAAUUAAUUAGUGAUGAGUUAAUCUCAAUGUAAUUAGAACUAGCCAGCCACUGGAUUAUAAAUUAAAUCGACUAGAUUUAUCUCUAUUAGGAAGUUUAUUGUUCACUUAAAGAGAUAUUCUACUUUUCUGGGUCUAAAAAAGACCUACUUUAAUGCAAUUUUUGUUAAAAUUAUUGAAGCAAUUGAGAUGCAACUUUUGUAGAAAUAUGUUCAUAUUGAGACUUUUAAAAUUGUUUUUAUAUAAAUUAAUCAGUAGCUCUCAAUCACUUCCAUAAAGAGGAUUUACAGUCCCUCUAAUUUGAAGUCAUCUAUACAUAAUCCGUUGGAUAGUUAUUGUCAUAUAUAAUAAAAAAUAUCAUCAUAAUCUACAAAAAUCCAUAAAUAUUUCUAUAAUUUCUUCUUUGCAUCUUAAUUACUUUAAUUGCUUUUUUCUUAAAAUAUUCUUGAAAAGGUUUUUUUUUGGAACGUAAAUACUUUUUUAAAGAAAGACUUUCAAAGAAUUCCAAAGGAAAUUAUUACUGGGAUGAACUUUUUUAGGGGGGAAAUUAUUUGUGAAACUAGAGCUUGCAAUUUCGUGAUAAUCUUCAGAAGACAUGCAGGUGACAGGUGUCUGGCAAAUAAGUUUCUGGUUCAUGGAUGGUGAUUUUUCUCGCAAAUGAUAAAUUUGAUUGUUUGGUUGUGAAAAUCGGCGGUUGCCUCUUCGACGCGCCAUUACGCCGAUCGCGGGAUGGUUGUAUAUCAAUUGCAGACAUGACAAAUCGUAUUUUCUGCACAAUCGCGCGCGUGAAAGGCGCACCGCCGCAUGCACGUCCAGCUAUAAAUAGGCACACUAAGAUAGCCACGCCUUAAUCACUGUAACACUGGAACGGAUAGCGGCGUUAAUGCUCGUCUGAUAUUGUUGCGACAGACGUCGUUUUACAAUCCGCUGUAUGCAUUCGUACAUUGCGUCCCGUUUGUCAUAUGCCACAAUAGGUUAUCGUAACGACAGUCACGAAGCGAUUUGAAACGAGAAGAAUUUGAAUCUGUAUUUAGGAUAAUCACUCUAGCGAACAAUUAUAUAGGAUUGUCUGAUUAUCACAAAUAAAUUAAGGGAGAUAAAACCUGAAUCGUUAUGGAUAAUUUCUUUCAAGCCAUGUCUUUUUUCCUUCACGUACAUAUAUAAUAUUAUACGUCACAAAAAUUCCAAAUCUCCAUGAAACGGAAGAUGGACCUUUUAAAAACUGAAAAGAAAAGUCUAACCCAAGAUAAACGACGAUCUUUAUGUCAUCUUACAUAUACUUGUGGUGACAUUUCACGAAGCAACGCAAACGAGGCUUUCGAAAUUCCUUUUGCAUUCAUAAUUGAAACUUGUUUAAAUCCCUUCUUAAGUUUUAAACAAUGUUGUCAAGUUUUAGAUACAUAUUUAUAAUAAAUAUAAUAAAAAAUUAUGUAUUUUAUACAUCAAUACAAUAAUUCUUUAAAUAUAUAACUUUUUUCAACCUUAACAAUUUCUCUAAAUUUUCUAUCGUUUUAAAAAAAUUCCACUGUGAUAAUAACAAAACCAAAAUUUGAGAAAAAUCUUCCAUCUUUCUAAAUAACUUUUAUAUUAAGUAUUAAAUACGUGAUUCAAUUUAUCACAUUAAGGAUUGCUUGUUCUAACUUCUCAGUAAAUUUACCUAUCAGAUAAAUGUAUGUCUGUCUUUAUUUAUUUAAGAAAUGAAAUGAAUAUAGAAGAUACAUGCUUAUCUGAUAGGUAAGUUUACCAAGAAGUUGGAACAACCAGCUCUAAGGCCAAAUUUCGAUAUACUGCCAGUACUGAAAAUCUACAGUUUACGUUAUGUAGAUUCAGAAGAGUCCUAAAAGAAAAGUCCUACAGAAGAGUCCUAAAAACCAGAGAGGUGCAAACUCGUUUCUACUUCCUGAUUGGUUGUGUUAUUCCUUCUUCCUGAUUGGUUGGUUAAGCCGUUAUGUCACGCAUACAACGUCCCAUGUAAGUUUGGGUUUGUCGUUUUUAAUGUGAGAUUAAUGUGAAGCAGCAUAGUUGAGGGGAGGGGGGUAAAGUUUGCGCCUUUCUAGUUUUUAAGACUGUAACUUAAAUUAUAAAUUUUUAAUACUAGUAAUGAAUUUCGGAACAUAGUUUAUAUUGAUAUAUUACCAUUAACGUACCCAUGAUUUCAAUGGAGAAGGAGAGGGGAAGUAAAGCUUCUUCUCUUCAAUCUUUGAUCCAAUUUUUUAAAUUCUCUUUUUUAAUUUUUUUUAUUUUGUCUAGAAAAGCAUACAUUGGCCAACAAGAAUUUAACUUUUUGUUGUAAAAAUCGUAUGCAUAAUUAACUUUUUUCAAGCUAAAAUUUGAAGAAAGAUAAAUACCUCUUCCUGUUACCUCUUGCAUACGCUCAUCGUAUAUCGUUAGAUAUGUAAAUCUUGUGUCAAGUUAUAAAAUUUAAAUAUAAAAUAAAGCAUAAAUUUAAAAUUUUUUAGGUAUAGAUGUUAAUUAAUUAGUAUUUGGUGCAUAUUAUGUUACAUAUAGCAUAAUCUUUUUACAUAAAAAAAUGAAUUGUAGUUGAUAUUUGGAAAAGACAAAUAUAAUAAAAGAAAUUAUAGUGAUUUGAUGGUAGAGAAAAUAGAGUAAAGAAAUAGUAUAAAUUAUUUUUAAUUGUCAUACAUUACGCUAUACAUACCCACGUAGAACACAGUCACAACAUCACAAUGAUGUUAUUAUGAUUGUAUUUGUCAUUUACAUAAGUACAUAAAAGAUGAUCUUAUGACAUCAUCGUGAUGUCAAGUCGCAAAUGACAUCAUUGUGACAUCAUUAUAGCCGAUAUUCAUAGUCGAGUCUUAUAUUUAGGUCUUUAGUACUCUAUCUUAAGAUGUCAUGAACCGAUCACAGAGCCGUGUUAGCAUCUUAAAACAUUACUAGAAAGAUAGUCUUGAAAUAAGAUUUGAUUAUGAAUAUUGAAUACUAGUCUUAUGUCUUCUGUGUUUUAUCUGGGUAUCUUAAUCUUAUUCAGUUUAUUGGUUAAAAAUGGCGGAAGUCAAUAGUAUUUAUAAGCUUUUUUAUGAUCUAUUAGAUCGUAGACCUGUUCUUUGCAUCUAUACUAUAUGUUUUUAAAUUUUCUGUGCUUAAUAAAAAAUACAUAUAUAGUCAGUGAUUGAGAAAAGAAAAAGAGAAGAUAACAAGGGCAAAAUUUAGUGAUAAAGAUUGUUUAUAGAGCAAAUAAUUCAUUUUUAUUUCCUUAUUUGAUCUUGAGGGAAUGAAUUAUUCUUAUACGAGAGUGUCGAUAAUAAACUUGAGUAAAGAUUCAUCGAAGUUGCUAAAUGACCUGAAGAUGGCACUAGUUUUAAUCUGCAAGUUAUGAUUUAGGCCUAUGGCACACACUUUCCAUAAGACGUAACAGUAAGGUUUCGACAAAUCACGUAUUCGAUUUAGCCGGUUAUGGUUACGGUCAUCCAAUUCAACGCGUCGAAACCUUACUGUUACGUCUUACAGAAAGCGUGUGGCACAGGCCUUAUUGUCGAUAAAUUAUGCUAUAAGCAAAUUAAGAUGAAUGUAGGUGUGUUUGAAAUGUACUUACAGUACUGAAAGUCUACUGCACAACAUGAAUCAUAGAUUUUUAGUAUUGUUAGUACAUUUCGGAACAUGCCUUAUAUACACUGUGUGCGGAGGCGGCAUAUAUAAACACACUAAGCGAUUUAUAAAUACGGUAUGAGGUGAUGAUGGCGCUAAUUUUCUAAGGGUACAAAAAUUGAAACAGUUAUAAUAUAUAAAAGAAACAUUAUUUUUAAAUUUAUUUAAAAUAUUUAUAUUUUUUAUUUACGGCAAAUUUUAUCGAAUGUAUUUUUUGUUCCUUUUUCUUGAUUAAUUAAAUAGCAUAAAAUUGAUACAUCUCAUGCAUUACAAGAAAGAAAGUAAAUUGUUAAUUACAACAUUUUACACACAUGGUUACAUACGAUAAAACUUUUGUAUAUAUUAAAAAUUGCAAUUCUAACAGCGAUGUAAAAGGAUAAAUCUAGAACAGUAGUAUACCUAUUCAUUAAACCACAGAAAUAAUUAUAAAAGAUAAUGAAUGAUGAAUAAUGCAUGAUGAAUAAUAUUACAAAAAA